This 742-nucleotide long non-coding RNA is filed under the name Coturnix japonica (Japanese quail). RNAcentral's name for it is "lncRNA (ENSCJPG00005002587.1)". The record is from RNAcentral. Lineage: Eukaryota; Metazoa; Chordata; Aves; Galliformes; Phasianidae.
GGGCGGGCCAAAACUCCCAGGGGGGGCGUGGCUUGUAAAGGAGGCCCCUCCCCCUCCUCUGUAUAUCUGGGUCUGGGGGGCUCCCAAGAGUGGCGGAUCUUUAUUGGGUGGGGGGGUUGUUUUAAGCACUGUUAGGCUGUUCUAUGGGCCGGGCUCGGGAGGUCCAUAGGUCUUACGAAUGGGGUCUUCGUGCCUAUGGUGCCUGCUUUCACAGUGAUUUGGGGGGGGGUCUUAGUGGUCUCAAUGGGGGGGGGUCCCUCAUGGGGGGGGCUAUGGGGGUCCUAAAGCUCCAUAGGGGAUAAUGGGGGGGUCUUAAGACUCCAUAGUGGUGUAUGGGGGGGUCCCAGGGCUCCAUAGGGAACAAUGGGGGCAGGGGUCUUAAGGGGGGUCCCACAUCUCCAUAGGGGUCUCAGUGAGUCCAUAGGGGUCCGGGGGGGUCCCACAGCCCCAUAGGGCUCCAUGGCUGCUCCCGGUGCCAUUCCCGGUUCCGAUCCCGGUUCAGAUCCCGGUUCCAUUCCCCAUUCAGAUCCCGGUUCGGAUCCCGGUUCGGUUCCCCCUUCACCUCCAUCCCGUUGGGCUCCAUCCCGUUCGGAUCCCGGUUCGAUUCCCCGUUAUUCGAAUCCCGGUUCGAUUCCCCCUUCAGUUCCAUCCCGUUCGGAUCCCGGUUCCAUUCCCCGUUUAAAUCCCGGUUCUGAUCCCAGUUUAAAUCCCGGUUCGGAUCCCGGUUCAGAUCCCGGUUCCA